AGAGUUUGAUCAUGGCUCAGGACGAACGCUGGCGGCGUGCCUAACACAUGCAAGUCGAACGAGAAAGUGGAGCAAUCCAUGAGUAAAGUGGCGACCGGGUGAGUAACACGUGACUAACCUACCUUUGAGUGGGGGAUAACCUCGGGAAACCGAGGCUAAUACCGCAUAACAUCGCAAGAUCAAAGCAGCAAUGCGCUUAA
RNAcentral lists this ribosomal RNA (200 nucleotides) under uncultured bacterium. RNAcentral describes it as "partial 16S ribosomal RNA". It matches the Rfam family "Bacterial small subunit ribosomal RNA", at positions 8 to 222 of the family's 1533-position model. The record is from RNAcentral.